RNAcentral lists this ribosomal RNA (492 nucleotides) under uncultured bacterium. RNAcentral describes it as "partial 16S ribosomal RNA". It matches the Rfam family "Bacterial small subunit ribosomal RNA", at positions 29 to 507 of the family's 1533-position model. The record is from RNAcentral.
AGUGAACGCUGGCGGUAGGCCUAACACAUGCAAGUCGAACGGCAGCACAGUAAGAGCUUGCUCUUACGGGUGGCGAGUGGCGGACGGGUGAGGAAUACAUCGGAAUCUACUUUUUCGGGGGGGAUAACGUAGGGAAACUUACGCUAAUACCGCAUACGACCUACGGGUGAAAGCAGGGGAUCUUCGGACCUUGCGCGAUUGAAUGAGCCGAUGUCGGAUUAGCUAGUUGGCGGGGUAAAGGCCCACCAAGGCGACGAUCCGUAGCUGGUCUGAGAGGAUGAUCAGCCACACUGGAACUGAGACACGGUCCAGACUCCUACGGGAGGCAGCAGUGGGGAAUAUUGGACAAUGGGCGCAAGCCUGAUCCAGCCAUACCGCGUGGGUGAAGAAGGCCUUCGGGUUGUAAAGCCCUUUUGUUGGGAAAGAAAAGCAGCAGGUUAAUACCCCGCUGUUCUGACGGUACCCAAAGCAUAAGCACCGGCUAACUUCGUG